Molecule: ribosomal RNA, 253 nt
Filed under: uncultured bacterium
Lineage: Bacteria
Description: partial 16S ribosomal RNA
Rfam family: Bacterial small subunit ribosomal RNA
Source: RNAcentral
UACAGAGGUCCCAAGCGUUGUUCGGAUUCACUGGGCGUAAAGGGUGCGUAGGCGGUCGGGUAAGUCUGAUGUGAAAUCUCCGGGCCUAACCCGGAAACUGCAUCGGAUACUAUUCGGCUGGAGGGUUGGAGGGGGGACUGGAAUACUUGGUGUAGCAGUGAAAUGCGUAGAUAUCAAGUGGAACACCAGUGGCGAAGGCGAGUCCCUGGACAACUCCUGACACUGAGGCACGAAAGCUAGGGGAGCAAACAGG